CGGUAAACGGCGGCCGUAACUAUAACGGUCCUAAGGUAGCGAAAUUCCUUGUCGGGUAAGUUCCGACCUGCACGAAUGGCGUAACGAUGGCGGCGCUGUCUCCACCCGAGACUCAGUGAAAUUGAAAUCGCUGUGAAGAUGCAGUGUACCCGCGGCAAGACGGAAAGACCCCGUGAACCUUUACUAUAGCUUGGCACUGGACUCUGACACUAUCUGUGUAGGAUAGGUGGGAGACUUUGAAGCGUGGUCGCCAGACUGCGUGGAGUCAUCCUUGAAAUACCACCCUGGUAUUGUCGGGGUUCUAACGCUGACCCGUUAUCCGGGUUGCGGACAGUGUCUGGUGGGUAGUUUGACUGGGGCGGUCUCCUCCCAAAGAGUAACGGAGGAGCACGAAGGUACCCUCAGCAUGGUCGGAAAUCAUGCAAUGAGCGC
This 432-nucleotide ribosomal RNA is filed under the name uncultured bacterium. RNAcentral's name for it is "bacterial LSU rRNA". It matches the Rfam family "Bacterial large subunit ribosomal RNA", at positions 1921 to 2352 of the family's 2925-position model. The record is from RNAcentral.